ACACUGUGUAUUGGAUCCAAGGCUUAGGCAUUGGGGGUUAAGUGACUUGCCCAGGGUCACACAACUAGGAAGUGUUUUGAGAUCACAUUUGAACUUAGGACCUCUUGUCUCUUGGCCUGGCUCUCUAUCCAUUGUACUACCAACCUGCCCUAAAUAAAUACAUUUAAAAAAUUAAAGAGGAAAAUAAUAUCACCCAUUCAUGAGGGUUAUUAAAUGAGAUGUUUAUAGAGUUUCAAAACAUAAAACACCAAGUAUUAGCUAUUAUUAAUAAUAAUAAUAGCUAUUCUUUAUAAAACAAUAAUAAUUGUUGGCAUUCGUAGUCCUUUAGAGUUUUCAAAGUGCUUAGUACAUAUCUAAUUUCAUUUUCACAACAACCCUCGGAGGUUAUCAUCCAUAUUUUAUAAACUGAGGCAGACAGAGGUGCGGAGAUUAACCAUAGUGUACGCGAAAACAUGGCUAAAGAUCACACAGGGUGAAUAGGUUUGGAAGUCACACCCUCUGGGUCCUACAGGAAACACAGUGGAUCUUUCCCUACAUACUACGUAUUUCUCCAGCACUUCCCCGAAAGGGAAGUAGACACACGCCCUAGAAAAAGAGCAUCCUCCUCUCGCCAGCGACGCGUCUUUCCGGACUACAUCUCCCAUAGCCCUUUGCCAGCAUCGCGACAGUUCAGCCUCGAGACAGGCGGCAAAGACAUACGAGAUCUCGAGAAGAGUACAUCCUUUCGGUUUCCGGCCCUUUUCUGAGCGGGGUGGCACAACGAUGGCUCCUUCCUCGUGGCUUACCAGAGCGAGGAGAUCUAGGCGGUGGGUCAUGGCUUCAUUUGCUUUGGGAAAGCGGAGGCUGAGUUGAUGUUAGAAGAGAAUGGCCUUUGAAACUGAGAAAUGGAAGAGCUGAAAACGGUGCUGUCUGUUUUUGGACCUUGGAAAAAGGCUUUCAUUUCUUGGAAAUGUUUUAAGAUUGUGAUCUUCCAACUUCCACCUUAACAGAGGUGCAGUCUGCCUGAGCUGAUAAGGAACAGAAACAUGUGGUUUGAGGAUCCUUUUUACUCCUGUAGUUGGAAGACUAGAAUAUCACUGAUAGUAGAAGCAUAUUUAUACUAGAAGAGAAGUAGAAAACUUGUUUCUACCCUAAAGCAGGUGUUAUCUACUACUGAAGCUGUGUGUGACCAACAAUCAUUAGAUUUCUAUAUUCUAUGCAAGUUGUCUUUACAUUUUUUAAAAAUAAAAUGAUUUGAAAACUGUCACAGGCAAGAUCCAGCCUCACUCGCGACUCCAGGGGUUCCUGACAGGUGGUGAACGAUCAGUCAAUAAAUAACACGGGAAACAGCUGUAUCUUUAUGGGAAUGCUUUGCAUCUGAUAGCUGCUCUGUCAUCCCCAGGCUUGAUGUUUACUUUUAUAUCCAUUUUCUUGGCACACAGAUACAUUACCUAACACACAUGUCUAAAUUGAGAUAAUUGGAGAAGUAAUACAUUAACUUUUAACAAAUCACUUGAUUAACAUUCUAUAUUCUUGUAUUGUGAUUGCAGAUUCUUGACAGAAUAAAGGUUUCACUCGAGGAAUCAUUUCAUCACAGGUGGCUUAGUUUUCUCAUUACCCUGUGAGUUUUUGAACUUACAAUCAAGGAAAUUUACUUAUUAGAAGUAAUCAGAAGUUCUUAAAGACAAAUCAACAAUCAUACCAUUGAAGUUGAGAGGUACUGGGAACACAAUUCAAAUUUAAUAGUCAUUUUUCAGAGUUUACUAGGGAGUUUCUGAGUUACUGGUUUGUGAAGUCACUGAGGCAUGUUGAAGCUUAGUGUACAUAUUGUAUGGGCCUUUGUGAUUGAUUUGUAUGCUGCCUUCAUGAGAAUAGGUUUCUGUGAGUGCUGAAGUUCUGGACUUGGCCUGUAGCUGCGGUUUUACUGAACAUUAUGUGUCCAAGUAAAAGUUAACCCAGGAUAGUCUUUUGGGGUUGGGUUUAUGGGUCUGAUGUUUUGGGGAUUUAGGGUACAGGUAUUUUGCUCUUGGCAUUAUUCCUUAUGAGACUAGGGGGAAUAGUAAUCAUGUCAAUUCCUUAGGUAAGGGAUGUUAAUGAGAGAGGUCAUGCUAGGGGGACUGAGUGGGCAAUUGCCUUUCCAAGGUCCACUCUGUGGCCUCCUUAGCUACCAUGUACGACUGUCAAGUGGCCUGAUGCCUCCCAGCAGAAAAUAUCUUUCUUAAUUAGCAUUAUUAAGUGAGUGCCUAAAGGUUUUUAAUUGAAACACAUCUUUUGCUAAUAGUGAAUAUUAACAUUAUUCAGAAGGUUCAAUAAGAUUUGUAACUGUACACCUUUUAGGUUAGCCUGAGAAGCUAUUAGUUCAUCAUAGACUUUUAAAUGUGCUUCUUAGUAAUCAGUUAUUGGAAAUCUUACAGUUCUGCCUUCCAAAUGAAUGAAUGCUCUAUGCAACAGGAUUGGCAGGCAGUUAUCUUAAUUGACCAUCCUUCAAAUUCAGUUAAACUUGAAAGGGUUCUUGGAUCCUAGUUACAAUUUCCACACUUCUGAACUUCCACCCUCUCCCUUCUCUACCAGCUUCUCUGCUUUCUAACACCAUAGUAAAAAAGACAAAAGAAAAAGGUCAUUUAAUAUUUAUGUAAUCAUACAGAGUUGGAAAAUGUUUCAAAUUACAUUCAAUUAUCCACCCAUUCAUCAGGUGGGAGUGCCUCCCCUCCCCUCCCUAUUGGACAGAAAAUUAAGUUGCAGGAAUUGAUCUUGUUCUCAGAGACCUGCUGUUAUUAUCUUACUGAAUGGUUCUUGAAUUGUUCUUCUGAUACUGCUUUUCUGUUGUCUCUGGGCAGAGUUUCACGUUUUGUGUUUAAGAAAUUUUUUUGGUGGUUUUUGCACUAUUGUAGGGUAUUGAGGGGUAAAAGAGGGUGUGAUUGAAGUUUUGUUUUGUGAUUUCCAAAUUAGUGAUGCCUGCUCCCUGCGGCAAAAUGCAGGAGUCUGGGAGAUAGCAGCAGCAAGCCACUAUGGCCCCUAACCCUGGUUUCAAGUUAUAUAUUUUUCAUCUCCAUUGUAGGGCUGAGCAUUUUCAGUUUCAAGAUAAUGCUUCUGGAAAGCAUCUGUUAAUUCUUAAUCAAGGGCAGGGCCUUAGAGCUCAGAACUUGGGAGUGACUUCAUAAAGAAAUGCUGAGUUUGGCUGUGUAAUUAUGGCUUGGCUUGGUUUUGCUUUGCUUUGGAUUCAGCGCUGAUAUAGAUGCAUGAUGCCUGCAUUGUGCAAAUUCCUCCACAGGAUGGCUUCCAUGGGCAUGUCGUGAUUCAUGUAAAACACCACAGGCUUCUUCUUGUGUUCAUAAUAAUGAUCAGAAAAAUUGAAGUAAUUGCUCGUCAUAAACCCGUAAGCGCUGACCUGCACAGGAAAAGUUAAAUUCAUAGCAUUUAUUCCCACUAAAUGUAUUCAUUCUGUGAAAGAAAGGAAGAUGAGUCCCUGGCUUAUAAAGAAUUUAUUUAAAAAAAAGAACUAAUCUCAAGGAUCUUAAUUUCUGAAGGAAGACAACACAUACAUAGGAGUAGAUGCUGGAUGUAUAUGAUAAUUUUAAAAGUUUUGUACCCAAACUGGCUUGGAUGUGAAGGCAGGGUGUAUAUAGGCAGUUGGAGUAAGGCUUCAUGAAGGUGCUUCAAGUGGGCAAAAAGAGAACAGGAUGUCCAAGGGGCAAGGAUGAGGAAGUUUCAUUCCAGGUCUGAAGGGUAGGCAGUGCAAUGGUCUGAAUUAGGGAGAUGCAAGAUCCUUGCCUAAUUAUGAGUAGUUAGACAUUAUAUUUGGUCAUAGAUAGGGAACUGCUGGAGUUGGGGGGGGGUGGCAGCAAUGCAGAAAAUUGUUUGGAAAUGGGGUUAGAUGUGACAGAGGCCAAAUAAAAUGCUUGUUUUAGAGCAAAGAAAAGGGAUAAGGGCUGUGUGUGGCUGUGUGGAGGUAAAAACAUGACAGUGACUGAGUAGAUAUCUGGGUGAAUUAGAAUCAUAGGCGAUUGAGUGGUAAGUAAUUUAGAAUGCUGGGUCUGGAGUCAGGAAAAUGAGUCUUCCUGAAUUCAAAUCUAGCUUUAGACAUUGACAAAGUCAUUUAACCCAGUUUGCCUCAUUUUCAGCAUCUGUUUAAGAUGAGUUGGAAAAGGAAAUGGCAAACCACUGGGAUUUUUGCCAAGAAAACUCCAAUUGGAGUCAUGAAGACUUGGACAACUAAGACUACUAAAAAAGCAGCAAAGGAUGACAGGAUGGGAACCUGAAUCGAAGUAUAGUGAUGCCCAAAACAUUAAUAGGAAAAGGAUUAGAAUUCUGUUUUGGGUGUAAUUGAGUUUAAAAUGUCCAAUAGGCAAUUCAAGGGAGAGGGGCUAGGACUACAUCAAGGUAAUUGAAGCUAUGUGAGCUGAUUUGUUUGGGAGUGUUAAGAGAAGCUCUAUACCAGAGCUUUUGGGGAUACACCUAGAAUUGACUUAGCAAAGAUAACCAAAAAGAGUGGCCAGACAGAACCAGGAGAGUCUCUAUGAAGGUUAAUGGUGUCAGUUGUGGUAGAGAAGUCAAGGAAGGUAGUAAGGAUGAAGUCAUUAGAUUUGGUAGUCAUGAACUAUUUGUAGUUUUGGAAAGAAGUUUUAGGAGGUUCCAAGCCAGAUUUGUAGGGGUUGAGAAAGUGAAAAUUAAAUUUGGUCAUGAUUGUAGACAGCAGGAAAGGAUCCAGUAGAUAAGGAAAGAUUAAAUGUCAAGAAGAGGGGGAAUUAUGGUGGGGAUGACUAUAAAAUUCAUCAGAGAGGUUGUGACUUAUUGUAACUCAUAUCACCCUCUAAGUAUUGUGUAAUAAGUGAUAUGCUAAUAUACAAAUAAACAGAUGACACCUGAUAUGUUGAGAAUGAGAUACAAGUUGGGGUGGACCUAUUCUCAGGUGUCUGCUAAAACUAUAGCUGUAGCAUGAGGCUUUGGGCCCCAUAGCAUUAGUAUUGACAAGGCCCCCUUUAAAAAAAAGUGAUUAGAAGAUAGUUAUUGCUUCACAGCAAUGUCCUGAGAUGGUGGGAAUAAAAUUAGGUUCACUGAUGGUCGCAGACUAAGCAUAGCUUGGCUUCAUUAGUAGGAGAUGGUAUUUCUUACCUGGUCACAGGUAUGCAAAGCUGUCAGCAACAUAAGAGCCCCAGUGGUAGGUAUAUAGAGGUGCCCCCUCUUUGUAUGGAUGAGUUUGGAUUUCAGAAAACUGAAGGCAAAAAAAUUUCACAUACAAAAUUCAGUCCAUUCAGUCAUAGGCCUCUGACAGUUAAACUCUGGCUAUGUAUAAUAUUUUUUGUGACAAUUAGCACAAGAUAGGAAAUUUUUCCUCAAUGUCUUCUGGAAUGCAGACUUUUAUUAGUCAUAUCCUUAUGGGAAUCCAAAUAUAAAUAUUGUGAAGUGAAAUAAAAACUAACAGUUGGGAGGAUGGGAUAAUAGUAGGAACACUGGCAGCCCAACUCAUGCUUGUACCCCCUCAAUGUUAAUGGACAUAAUUAGAAGCCGCUGCUGUAUAAACCAGCCCAAUUCAAUCACUUCCUCUUCCUUCCCCUCCCUUUGCCAUUACUCCACAACUAAGGGAAUCCCAUAAGAAACCCAUUAUUAACAGGUUUGAGCCCAACCCUAAAAUUAUCUUUUGCUGCCAGACCAGGAGAGAUCAGAUGGCACAUGGUCCAGCAGAAAAAGUAUUAGCUCCAGACUUAGAAUAUCUAGAUUCAGAUCUCUUCUGAGCUCUCAAUGUUGUCAUCUGCAAAAUGAGAGGAUUGGACUAAAAUGACUUCUGAGAUCCCUUCCUGCUUCAGCUCUGAUCAUCUGUGAAAGGAACAGGUGACUCAAACCUUGCAGAUGGUGAGGCUAAGGACAGGAGAGGAAUCGGAUACAGGAAGUAUAGAGAGGGAUGGGGCAAGGGGUUGCUAGUGUUCAGGUGAAGUAAUGACUAUCCAGUGGUGAAGGAAAGUAUUGAGAGAGAUGGAGGCAAAGGUCAGGGAGUGGAUUUGAGCAUUGAAAAGAGCCAAGGCCCUGGCCACCCUCCAUACCUCUCUUUCAGGUAGUUGAUGAAAUCUGGAUGUAACAGCUUGAAUUUACUUGCAGCGGCUUCUGGUCCAAAAUAGGCCUGUGGUCUAGGAGUUCAGUCACGAAAGAAAUGUACAGCACGAUUAAAAUCAAAAUGAGGUGGAGACGAUGAUGUUAGAGGGGCAAGGCUAGUUUGACGACGACGAAGAUGACUUCGGGGAUGAGGAUGGGUUCGUGAGAAAGGGGUAUAGAAAGUCGCAGGUAUUAUGGUAGGAGCUUGAUAGGGUUUUGUUAGAGUGAAGCAGUCCAAAGGAGGUUGGUGAGUUACAGAACAAGGAGGUGUGAACAGACCAUGAGAGGGCGGGUAACUGAGAUUUAGAGGAGGGAGACGAGGAGGGGCCGGAAAGAUCGGAUAAUAUAGAGAUUCUGGAGUUUUGGUUUUAGAAGGAGUGCAAGGAAAGUUACAGGGAAAACAAGGAUUGUAAGGGAUAGGAAUGGUAGGGGGCUGGAAAUAGGGGUUGGGGUUCAGGAGCUGUGAGACGUAGGGAGCGAUAUGAGAAGGGACAAGAGGAGAGCGAGUCCGAGUAGGCCAUACUACAGAGGGAGCAGCAGCAGCAGCAGCGAGACUGGCUUGAGAGGAUUGAGAAGGAGAUUUGGAGGGAGGUGGAGUGGGAGUCUGAGAGAGACCCCUGGAGGAUGGGCGAGUUUGGAAGGGAGAUUGGCUCAGAGGUGGGGUGAGAGUUUGGGAAGGAGCCCGUGAAGUAGGUUGGGAGGGAGAAAGGGGUACUACACCAGGAGUUUGGGAUGGAACUCGAGAAGAGGGUGUAGAAGGAGAAAUGGGGGGAGUUUGGUUUGGAGUUCGGGUAUGGCUAGAUCCUCUAGGUGUUGCAUGAGGCUGGUUUGGAGAAAAGUGACCCGAACGGGAUUGGGAGGGGGAUUGGGUAGGGGAAGGAUUGGGGGAUUGGGAGGGGGAGUUCAUUGGUGUUGGGGAGGCUUCUAUCUAUCUUAUUAAACCUUGCCUUUGAGUGAACCUUUCUUAGGAGCCCAAACCCCUCCCGGGUCACAAAAGUCAUUGUUAUCACUAUCACCAUCAUCAAGUAAUUAUUGAGUGCUUGCAGAGUCUAGGGCACUGGCCCAAGCUUGUGAGGGGUUGAGAGGAAGGCCAACUCCCAAAUCUCCCUCCUUUUUUGUAGGAGGCUGUGUUCUUCAAGGUUGGGAGUAUAAUUGGUAACUGAUAUCAUCCUGUGGGAGAAAACAGAGAGAUAAAGGAUCCAUACUCCUGUCUCUGUGCAAUGUGGUCUAAUGGAUAGAAUGCUGGACCAGGCUAGAGUCAGUAAGCCCUGAAUAUUGAUCAUCCUGCCUCAAGACAUUAAACAAGUCAUUUAACCUC
Monodelphis domestica (gray short-tailed opossum) is the source of this 7384-nucleotide long non-coding RNA. RefSeq lists it as uncharacterized. Lineage: Eukaryota; Metazoa; Chordata; Mammalia; Didelphimorphia; Didelphidae. The record is from RefSeq and is a predicted model, not a curated record.